This 505-nucleotide ribosomal RNA is filed under the name uncultured bacterium. Its description in RNAcentral is "partial 16S ribosomal RNA". It matches the Rfam family "Bacterial small subunit ribosomal RNA", at positions 28 to 507 of the family's 1533-position model. The record is from RNAcentral.
GACGAACGCUGGCGGCGUGCCUAAUACAUGCAAGUCGAACGCACAGUUUAUACCGUAGCUUGCUACACCAUAAACUGUGAGUUGCGAACGGGUGAGUAACGCGUAGGUAACCUGCCUGGUAGCGGGGGAUAACUAUUGGAAACGAUAGCUAAUACCGCAUAAUAUUGAUUAUUGCAUGAUAAUUGAUUGAAAGAUGCUAUUGCAUCACUACCAGAUGGACCUGCGUUGUAUUAGCUAGUAGGUGAGGUAACGGCUCACCUAGGCGACGAUACAUAGCCGACCUGAGAGGGUGAUCGGCCACACUGGGACUGAGACACGGCCCAGACUCCUACGGGAGGCAGCAGUAGGGAAGCUUCGGCAAUGGACGAAAGUCUGACCGAGCAACGCCGCGUGAGUGAAGAAGGUUUUCGGAUCGUAAAGCUCUGUUGUAAGAGAAGAACGGGUGUGAGAGUGGAAAGUUCACACUGUGACGGUAUCUUACCAGAAAGGGACGGCUAACUACGUG